RNAcentral lists this ribosomal RNA (205 nucleotides) under uncultured bacterium. RNAcentral's name for it is "partial 16S ribosomal RNA". It matches the Rfam family "Bacterial small subunit ribosomal RNA", at positions 124 to 334 of the family's 1533-position model. The record is from RNAcentral.
ACCUGCCCGUGAGUGGGGAAUAACGCUGCGAAAGCAGCGCUAAUACCGCAUGCGCUCGCCGCUUCACGCAGUGAGGAAAGCUUAAUGCGCUCAUGGAGGGGCCUGCGGCAGAUUAGCUAGUCGGUGGGGUAAUGGCCUACCGAGGCGACGAUCGGUAGCUGGUCUGAGAGGACGAUCAGCCACACUGGGAUUGAGAACGGCCCAG